RNAcentral lists this ribosomal RNA (497 nucleotides) under uncultured bacterium. Its description in RNAcentral is "partial 16S ribosomal RNA". It matches the Rfam family "Bacterial small subunit ribosomal RNA", at positions 28 to 507 of the family's 1533-position model. The record is from RNAcentral.
GAUGAACGCUGGCGGCGUGCCUAAUACAUGCAAGUCGAGCGAACAGACGAGGAGCUUGCUCCUCUGACGUUAGCGGCGGACGGGUGAGUAACACGUGGAUAACCUACCUAUAAGACUGGGAUAACUUCGGGAAACCGGAGCUAAUACCGGAUAAUAUAUUGAACCGCAUGGUUCGAUAGUGAAAGACGGUUUUGCUGUCACUUAUAGAUGGAUCCGCGCCGCAUUAGCUAGUUGGUAAGGUAACGGCUUACCAAGGCAACGAUGCGUAGCCGACCUGAGAGGGUGAUCGGCCACACUGGAACUGAGACGCGGUCCAGACUCCUACGGGAGGCAGCAGUAGGGAAUCUUCCGCAAUGGGCGAAAGCCUGACGGAGCAACGCCGCGUGAGUGAUGAAGGUCUUCGGAUCGUAAAACUCUGUUAUUAGGGAAGAACAAAUGUGUAAGUAACUAUGCACGUCUUGACGGUACCUAAUCAGAAAGCCACGGCUAACUACGUG